UAAUUUGUUGUUAUUGAUGUUGGCUUUCGCUCUUAGUAGUACUAACACUACAACAGAAUUAGGUUAUAGGGACACAUGUUUAGAUACUUUUGAGUAAGUGUCCCAUUUAUGCUAAAACUUAAAAACACAUCUACUAAUGCCUAAAUAUAAAGCCCAAUCCAACCAAAAAUAAAAGAUUACUCUACUCAACCCACCACACCCAGUCCAUUUGGCCCGAUUACAAACAGAAAAGAAAAAAAAAAGAAAAAUCAAUUACCAUCUUUUCUUCUCUCUUCACUCAAUCCACUGAAAUUUUAGACGAAGAGCCUUUACUGUCGUCCUCCUCCGCCACCGCACCCAACGAGAUAGAGUUUCAGCGGUUGCUAAAUGCUUAAAUAAGUGUUGGUAAAUUAGCAGCACUCUUUUAGGUUAUAGUGACACUCUUUAACUGUCACUAUAUACCUAGCGACCCCACAUAUAGCAACACUUUUUAAAAGUGUCGGUAAUUUUAGCUAGCAGCACUUUUUUGAAAUGUACCUACAUUUAAAAAUGUCGCUAUAAACCGUUUUUGUUGAAGUGUAACUAGUAUUAAUUAAAAUUUAAACGUGGUGCUAAUUAGAAUAUUAUUCAUUUAGUUUUUGACUUGAAAAAAAU
RNAcentral lists this long non-coding RNA (633 nucleotides) under Ananas comosus (pineapple). Its description in RNAcentral is "long non-coding RNA (ACOM_LNC043505)". The record is from RNAcentral. Lineage: Eukaryota; Viridiplantae; Streptophyta; Magnoliopsida; Poales; Bromeliaceae.